CCUACGGGAGGCAGCAGUGGGGAAUCUUGCGCAAUGGGCGAAAGCCUGACGCAGCCAUGCCGCGUGAAUGAUGAAGGUCUUAGGAUUGUAAAAUUCUUUCACCGGGGACGAUAAUGACGGUACCCGGAGAAGAAGCCCCGGCUAACUUCGUGCCAGCAGCCGCGGUAAUACGAAGGGGGCUAGCGUUGCUCGGAAUUACUGGGCGUAAAGGGAGCGUAGGCGGAUAGUUUAGUCAGAGGUGAAAGCCCAGGGCUCAACCUUGGAAUUGCCUUUGAUACUGGCUAUCUUGAGUAUGGGAGAGGUUAGCGGAACUCCGAGUGUAGAGGUGAAAUUCGUAGAUAUUCGGAAGAACACCAGUGGCGAAGGCGGCUAACUGGCCCAUUACUGACGCUGAGGCUCGAAAGCGUGGGGAGCAAACAGGAUUAGAUACCCUGGUAGUCCACGCCGUAAACGAUGAGUGCUAGUUGUCGGCAUGCAUGCAUGUCGGUGACGCAGCUACGCAUAAGACACUCCGCCGUCGGGAGGUACGGUCGCGAGAUAAACUACAANAGAAGUAGACGGCGNGAGACGUGCCGACGACGACGACGAGGGAGGUUAGG
This 599-nucleotide ribosomal RNA is filed under the name uncultured bacterium. RNAcentral's name for it is "bacterial SSU rRNA". The stretch from base 1 to 516 matches the Rfam family "Bacterial small subunit ribosomal RNA", at positions 338 to 873 of the family's 1533-position model. The record is from RNAcentral.